CAACGCCGCGUGAGGGACGAAGGCCUCUGGGCUGUAAACCUCUUUUCUCAAGGAAGAAGACAUGACGGUACUUGAGGAAUAAGCCACGGCUAAUUCCGUGCCAGCAGCCGCGGUAAUACGGGAGUGGCAAGCGUUAUCCGGAAUUAUUGGGCGUAAAGCGUCCGCAGGCGGCCUUGAAAGUCUGUUGUUAAAGAGUGGAGCUCAACUCCAUUYCAGCAAUGGAAACUACAAGGCUAGAGUGUGGUAGGGGCAGAGGGAAUUCCCGGUGUAGCGGUGAAAUGCGUAGAUAU
This 290-nucleotide ribosomal RNA is filed under the name uncultured bacterium. RNAcentral describes it as "partial 16S ribosomal RNA". It matches the Rfam family "Bacterial small subunit ribosomal RNA", at positions 392 to 697 of the family's 1533-position model. The record is from RNAcentral.